Molecule: ribosomal RNA, 657 nt
Filed under: uncultured forest soil bacterium
Lineage: Bacteria
Description: bacterial SSU rRNA
Rfam family: Bacterial small subunit ribosomal RNA
Source: RNAcentral
GAGCGCCGUAGCAAUACGGAGCGGCAGACGGGAGAGUAACACGUGGGAACGUACCCUUCAGUCCGGAACAACCCAGGGAAACUUGGGCUAAUACCGGAUACGUCCGUAAGGAGAAAGAUUUAUCGCUGAAGGAUCGGCCCGCGUCUGAUUAGCUUGUUGGUGAGGUAACGGCUCACCAAGGCUACGAUCAGUAGCUGGUCUGAGAGGAUGAUCAGCCUCACUGGGACUGAGACACGGCCCAGACUCCUACGGGAGGCAGCAGUGGGGAAUAUUGGACAAUGGGCGCAAGCCUGAUCCAGCCAUGCCGCGUGGAUGAUGAAGGCCUUAGGGUUGUAAAGUCCUUUCGGCGGGGAAGAUAAUGACGGUACCCGCAGAAGAAGCCCCGGCUAACUUCGUGCCAGCAGCCGCGGUAAUACGAAGGGGGCUAGCGUUGCUCGGAAUCACUGGGCGUAAAGCGCACGUAGGCGGCUUUUUAAGUCAGAGGUGAAAUCCUGGAGCUCAACUCCAGAACUGCCUUUGAUACUGGAGAGCUUGAGUCCGGGAGAGGUGAGUGGAACUGCGAGUGUAGAGGUGAAAUUCGUAGAUAUUCGCAAGAACACCAGUGGCGAAGGCGGCUCACUGGCCCGGUACUGACGCUGAGGUGCGAAAGCGUGGGGA